RNA transcript from Macrosteles quadrilineatus (aster leafhopper), 4255 nucleotides. It is a transcript of the gene named ankyrin repeat and death domain-containing protein 1A-like, with no coding region annotated. NCBI's taxonomy places the organism in Eukaryota, Metazoa, Arthropoda, Insecta, Hemiptera, Cicadellidae. The record is from RefSeq and is a predicted model, not a curated record. The transcript has 15 exons.
GCCAACCUUAGCGCGGUGAAUGUUCACGACCCCAACACACGGAAUCGCAAUCAAAUGUGGGGAGAAUCACUUCAACAUGGUGCUUAGAUGCAAGAUGGCUGCCGUGACGUCAUGCUGAAUGCUGAGCUCGAUGAUGCUUCUGAGGAGUCCGUAUCUUCAAGCAGAAGAAGCAGUAGAGUGCUGAAAAAUGAUCUUCUUCUACACGAGGCGGUCAUCAAAAAUGACCCGGAUGCGGUUAAAAAAGUACUCAAGGAGCACGUGGACAUAAACUCUAGGAAUAAUUAUGGAAGAGCCCCCAUCCACUGGGCCGCCUCACGAGGGGCCACAGACAUCAUGGAGCUUCUGAUCAACGCUAAAUGCGACAUCGAGGCCAGAGAUCGGUACGGUAUGAGACCGCUACUAAUGGCGGCGUGGCACGGACACACAGAAGCAGUUCAACUACUCAUCAACUGUGGAGCCAGUGUGGUAGCUACCAACAAGAAGCAGUAUACUCUGCUGAUGUGCGCUGCUCGCAACAACCGAUUGUCCGUGGUGAACUUCCUACUGGACUCUCUGGAGCACAUAGAUGUGGACCUGGUAGAUCAGGAGCGGCAGACGGCACUGCACCACGCCGCCCAGGCCGGCCACAGGGAGGUGGUCUCAAGGAUAGUGCAAGCUGGUGCCAACACCAAACUACUUAAUAAGCAAGGUCGGACAGCUCUGCACAUGGCUUGUGAGAAGGGUCACUUGGACGUCGUGGAGUUCCUGCUCAGACACGAGGCUCAGAUUGAGGCGAGAGACGAGGAGGGAAACACACCAUUACAUCUUGCGGUGGAAAACAAACACCUGAUGGUGACUCAACUUCUGCUGGAGUACGGCACACCACCCGACGUCGACAACCAAAAAGGUAUGACUCCGCUGCAUGUUGCUAGCAGUCUUGGCUGUCGCGGUAUAAUUGACACCCUACUACAGUAUGGCAGCGAUGUCGACAAACAGAGCAAGAACGGCAACACUCCUCUUCAUCAAGCCAGCGAAGCCAACGAUUGUGAAACCGUGGAGCUGCUCAUUGCAAAGGGAGCAGAUCUCAAUGCACUCAAUGCGAGGCUGCAAUCUCCUAUCCAUAUAGCAGCAGAGCAUGGUUUCACAGAUAUAUGCAAAGUUCUACUAGCAGCUGGAGCAAACAUUGAGCAGAGGGAACAGGGUGGGAGAACACCUCUGUAUAUAGCUGCUAGAGGGAGCUUCACUGCUAUUGUGGACAUGAUCAUCAGAACGGCUCGGCUAGACUAUCCGGAGCCUUGCGGGGUUGCAGGAGGAGAGUGCGGAGGCAGGACACCAGAGUGCAGCUCGGAGGAAGUGGAGGCUACAGAAGGAAGGGCGCGGGAGUGUAGGGGAGACGAACGACAGACUCAAACAGGUGUUGUGGAAGUUGGCGCACAAACAGCUGGACGCUGCGGACUGGAAGAGGCUUGCGCAUCACUGGGCGUUCACGGAAGAGCAGAUCAAGGCGAUAGAGCACCAGUACACAGGUACGUUCGGGCCAAACAGUCACAAGGAUCACGCGUACAGGAUGUUAGUGAUAUGGAGCGAGGGGUUGAACCAGGAGGUUAAUCCUGUCAAAAGCCUGUGUGAAGGCCUUUGUGCGAUAAACAAGAAGAGUCUAGCAGAGUCCAUCAAGAAAAAGAUGAACGAAGACAUUGACCUGCCCCAGAAGGACGGGCCAAAAUGUUGUACGAGAUGUUCGGUGUUAUAGUUUUUGCGGCCCUGGCACCAGACUGUCCCAGCAGUACCUCGCCUGAAAAUUCCUUUCGACAUUUCUUGCUAUUCUAUUCGAUGUCCUCUCUCGACGUAAGACUACAGCUGCAUUUAUCAUUGUUAUCAGAUAUGUCACUAUUUGUUUUUAACUCUUUAAUGGGAACAAGAUGUUUCCAAAAAGUCUUCCUCAUGAUUCUGAAGAUAAUGUAAGGAGUAAAUGUUUUGAUGUAUUAAGGCAUUUUUCAGUUUUGCAUCAGUGUUAACAAAAUUUAAAUGUAAAUUGGGAUAUGUAUUUUCAUAAAUGUUUACACAGCCAUAAUUCAGCCGAAAAAAUAUUUAGUCAAAAAUUAUUUAGUUAGGAUGUAAAGCUCACAAUCAAUGCCUUUUGUUUAGUUUCAAUACAAUUCUCGAAACUAUUUUUGUUAUAAUAUUUUGUAUAAGAUACGAUUUGAAUCAUUUUUGGCUAUUAGUCAUACACAACUUAUACGUACAACCUAGAUUGAACAAUCAAUUAUUGCUAUUUUAAAAUACAACUUGGGUCUUCCAUCAAGGAUUUUUUAACUAUAAAUGACCGGUUUAAAUUACGUUUGUAUCUAACAAUCAAUCAGUUACUUAGCACCGACUGAUGCCACGACCAAAACGUAGAAAACAUAGAGAUUUUAAGGAAUAAUAGUUGAUUACUUUAGAAAUAUAAAUCUAUAAGACUGUAAUAAUAUUUAUAGUACUAAAGUGUUUAGCUAGUCGCACUAAUAAUAGCAUUUUGUGACAUAUCUAUAGAGAAAUUUAUUAUUUAUAACAUAUAAUUUAUAAUACGAUUAGCUUUAAAAGUCUAGCCUUAAUAGGUAUUUUAAAUACAUUAAAGUAAAGUCAACAAGACAAAUAUCUAAAACCCUCAAGUUUAAAAUCAAGACUUGCAUUGAAAUAUAUUUUUAAUUCAUUUGGUUUGUUAAAUAUAAUUUCUAAAAGUAUAAGUGUUCUUCAAGCAAAGCUUGAAGUUGUUCAAACAUUUUGUAAACAAAAACAAGUUUCAACACUCAACAACCACCAAUUCGUUUACUCCAUUUCAAAGUUUAAACAGUACAUCACCCACGAAACUAGUAUGUAAAUUAGUUCUGUAUUUAAAUGUAAUUUAAACUUGUGUGUUAAGAAACAAUUUGAAAUAAUAACUGGUCAAACUGUAUUAAUAUGUAUUAAUUGCAUUGGGUAAUAUUUUGCAAUGAAGAUUAGUUCCCUUAGUUAAAUAUUUGGUUUAUAUAAACAAACUAUUAUCUAAUAACAAUACAGAUUUUGAUAUUGAGGUGAAACAACUUUAUUUGUAAUAAUUAUUAAUUUGUUCAGAAACGUAAACCUCACCAAGUAUGAUUUCUCUUCUGAUUUAAAUUUUACAAUUUUAAAUAGAUUUGGGAAAAUAUUGAGUUGUGAAUUGUAAAACUUAAAUGAUAUUUUUCCCUCCAGUCAUUUACAAUUAUACAGUAGUUCUAAGCUGGUAAGAAAAAUUCAGCCUAACGGUAUAUUGAGUUUAGCACAAUUGCUGAUUUUCAAAGGCUUACAAGGUAUUAAAUGAAAUUGGGUUUAGUAACAAUAUUGAACAAAACUGUAACAAAAAUCUGUUUUUAUUGUUUACAGCCAUAUAAAAUAUUGUUUGUUCAAAAUUACACAGAUAAAAUCGAAACAUUAUUUUUGUACCUCACGUAGAUGCAAACACUUUUAAAGAAUCCACUCAUGCAAACACUCAUGCUUGGUGAUUUUCAUUUUCUAGCUUUGCUCCAAUUACAUUUGCUAAAUGUAUGGCAGUUUGUUGAAGCUUCAAAUAUUUAAGCUAUUCCCGUGUAUCUUGAUCUUCUGUAUUACAUUAAUGAAACAUUAGAUCUCUAAGAUCUUAUUUAGUUUAGAAUGAACAGCAUAAUUAUUCUAGAAAAAAGAACAUUGUUCAGUGGGCAUUUUCCCUAGUUAUGUAUGUGUUUGGCCUUUACUCCAUUGAUCGCGUUUGCAAAAUAGUUUUUUAUUGUUUAGAAAACUAUAAAAGCCACUGACAAGAGUGCGAACUUGUACAAUUAUACAUAAGAUUUUGCCCAACACAUUCAUUACUUAACUAAUAUAGGCUACUAGUAGAACGCUUUUACAAAUUUGAAAACAUAUCAGCUCUAGGAUUGUAUAGGACUAUGAAUAUUUCAUAAAGUAUUUGUUUGAUUUCCAUUCUUCAACAUUUUGUUUUCAAUUUCAUUUAGUCGAACAAAUGUCUUUAGCACUUUGGUAGGAUGACGUAAAUAAUUUCAAUCAGCAGCUUACUGCUUCCCCCAGACAGCAUUUGAAGCCUAGUUUCAUGGAAUUUGUAUACUAUUUAUAACAAAUUGCUCAGUAGAGUUUAGAUAUUUUUAGUAGUUUCUGAUAUCAAUGUACAAAUCGAUGUUUUCAGCUUGGUUUUUUAUAGCUGUGCAUGGUUAUUGCUUACAGGUGCGCCUUACACUAAGUCCUGAUCCAGCAUAUUAGAUGUAAGCUUAGACUUAGCUGUCGGUAAUCUAGU